AUGAAGUUGGUGACAAGCAUUACUGUACUCCUAUCUUUGGGUAUUAUGGGUGAUGCUAAGACCACACAGCCAAAUUCAAUGGAGAGUAACGAAGAAGAGCCUGUUCACUUGCCUUGUAACCACUCCACAAUCAGUGGAACUGAUUACAUACAUUGGUAUCGACAGCUUCCCUCCCAGGGUCCAGAGUACGUGAUUCAUGGUCUUACAAGCAAUGUGAACAACAGAAUGGCCUCUCUGGCAAUCGCUGAAGACAGAAAGUCCAGUACCUUGAUCCUGCACCGUGCUACCUUGAGAGAUGCUGCUGUGUACUACUGCAUCCUGAGAGAC
Non-coding RNA from Homo sapiens (human), 327 nucleotides. The record is from the annotation of a RefSeq genome assembly. NCBI's taxonomy places the organism in Eukaryota, Metazoa, Chordata, Mammalia, Primates, Hominidae.